Molecule: ribosomal RNA, 253 nt
Filed under: uncultured bacterium
Lineage: Bacteria
Description: partial 16S ribosomal RNA
Rfam family: Bacterial small subunit ribosomal RNA
Source: RNAcentral
UACGUAGGGACCAAGCGUUGUCCGGAUUUAUUGGGCGUAAAGGGCUCGUAGGCGGUUUGUCGCGUCGGGAGUGAAAACCAGGUGCUUAACACCUGGCUUGCUUUCGAUACGGGCAGACUAGAGGUAUUCAGGGGAGAACGGAAUUCCUGGUGUAGCGGUGAAAUGCGCAGAUAUCAGGAGGAACACCGGUGGCGAAGGCGGUUCUCUGGGAAUGACCUGACGCUGAGGAGCGAAAGUGUGGGGAGCGAACAGG